UGCCAUCUUCCGCUAGGUGCUCACUGC
This 27-nucleotide non-coding RNA is filed under the name Homo sapiens (human). Lineage: Eukaryota; Metazoa; Chordata; Mammalia; Primates; Hominidae. The record is from RNAcentral.